Molecule: ribosomal RNA, 497 nt
Filed under: uncultured bacterium
Lineage: Bacteria
Description: partial 16S ribosomal RNA
Rfam family: Bacterial small subunit ribosomal RNA
Source: RNAcentral
GAUGAACGCUGGCGGCGUGCCUAAUACAUGCAAGUCGAGCGAACGGACGAGAAGCUUGCUUUUCUGAUGUUAGCGGCGGACGGGUGAGUAACACGUGGAUAACCUACCUAUAAGACUGGGAUAACUUCGGGAAACCGGAGCUAAUACCGGAUAAUAUUUUGAACCGCAUGGUUCAAAAGUGAAAGACGGUCUUGCUGUCACUUAUAGAUGGAUCCGCGCUGCAUUAGCUAGUUGGUAAGGUAACGGCUUACCAAGGCAACGAUGCAUAGCCGACCUGAGAGGAGGGGAAGCCUCACUGGAACAUGACACGGGACCGAGGGCCGACGGGAGGAAGAAGCAGGGGAAGGUGGCCAGUGGUCGAAAAACUAACAAAGAGACGCGGAGUAAGGGACAAAGGUUGUCGGAUCUGAAUACUCUGUUAUGGAGUAAAAAAAGAGGGGUAAGGAACAAUGCACGGCGUGACGGGAGCGAAUAAGAAAGCCACGGCGAACGACGGU